GGUUUUUAACUUAGAUUUGGGUGGCGGACGGGUGAGUAACGCGUAAAGAACUUGCCUCACAGCUAGGGACAACAUUUAGAAAUGAAUGCUAAUACCUGAUAUUAUGAUUUUAAGGCAUCUUAGAAUUAUGAAAGCUAUAAGCACUGUGAGAGAGCUUUGCGUCCCAUUAGCUAGUUGGAGAGGUAACAGCUCACCAAGGCGAUGAUGGGUAGCCGGCCUGAGAGGGUGAACGGCCACAAGGGGACUGAGACACGGCCCUUACUCCUACGGGAGGCAGCAGUGGGGAAUAUUGGACAAUGGACCGAGAGUCUGAUCCAGCAAUUCUGUGUGCACGAUGAAGUUUUUCGGAAUGUAAAGUGCUUUCAGUUGGGAAGAAAAAAAUGACGGUACCAACAGAAGAAGUGACGGCUAAAUACGUGCCAGCAGCCGCGGUAAUACGUAUGUCACGAGCGUUAUCCGGAUUUAUUGGGCGUAAAGCGCGUCUAGGUGGUUAUGUAAGUCUGAUGUGAAAAUGCAGGGCUCAACUCUGUAUUGCGUUGGAAACUGUAUAACUAGAGUACUGGAGAGGUAAGCGGAACUACAAGUGUAGAGGUGAAAUUCGUAGAUAUUUGUAGGAAUGCCGAUGGGGAAGCCAGCUUACUGGACAGAUACUG
RNAcentral lists this ribosomal RNA (653 nucleotides) under uncultured Fusobacteriota bacterium. RNAcentral describes it as "bacterial SSU rRNA". It matches the Rfam family "Bacterial small subunit ribosomal RNA", at positions 75 to 742 of the family's 1533-position model. The record is from RNAcentral. Lineage: Bacteria; Fusobacteriati; Fusobacteriota.